GAUGAACGCUGGCGGCGUGCCUAAUACAUGCAAGUCGAGCGAACAGACGAGGAGCUUGCUCCUCUGACGUUAUCGGCGGACGGGUGAGUAACACGUGGAUAACCUACCUAUAAGACUGGGAUAACUUCGGGAAACCGGAGCUAAUACCGGACAAUAUAUUGAACCGCAUGGUUCAAUAGUGAAAGACGGUUUUGCUGUCACUUAUAGAUGGAUCCGCGCCGCAUUAGCUAGUUGGUAAGGUAACGGCUUACCAAGGCAACGAUGCGUAGCCGACCUGAGAGGGUGAUCGGCCACACUGGAACUGAGACACGGUCCAGACUCCUACGGGAGGCAGCAGUAGGGAAUCUUCCGCAAUGGGCGAAAGCCUGACGGAGCAACGCCGCGUGGGUAAUAAAGGUCUUCGGAUCGUAAAACUCUGUUAUUAGGGAAGAACAAAUGUGUAAGUAACUAUGCACGUCUUGACGGUACCUAAUCAGAAAGCCACGGCUAACUACGUG
This 497-nucleotide ribosomal RNA is filed under the name uncultured bacterium. Its description in RNAcentral is "partial 16S ribosomal RNA". It matches the Rfam family "Bacterial small subunit ribosomal RNA", at positions 28 to 507 of the family's 1533-position model. The record is from RNAcentral.